Molecule: long non-coding RNA, 2707 nt
Organism: Ooceraea biroi (clonal raider ant)
Lineage: Eukaryota; Metazoa; Arthropoda; Insecta; Hymenoptera; Formicidae
Source: RefSeq, a predicted model, not a curated record
UCCUCAGUUUAUUCCCCGGCCGCGCCGCUGGUGACCUUUCCUCCCGAAUGCCGACGACGGAAUCGAUGGAGCAUCCAGUGCCUGUUGGCUGGUGACGAGCGACGAGUCUCCUUUCCUGUCGAUAAAUCGAUCAUUUCCGCGAGAUAACCGAUGAACGCGCGAUUAAUUUUGUCGGGUGCAUAGAGGAACGAUAAAGGAAGCGUUUGAUCUUCUCUUCACAGAGCUCUAGCAGCUUUCACUGUGUUACACGUCUCGUUCUCAGGUGACGUUCUAGAGAAACAAAGGACAAGAGAGAUAGGACAUUGCUCAUCCGCUGAGAAGCUAAAAACUGAUACUUGAAGCGGAUCCUUUUCCAACUUUUCACGAUACGCGAUUCCGCAAUCUUUCUAGCAUCCCAAACAUACGCGAGGUCAACGCGACUACAAUCCUGCACGUACGACGUAUCUCCGUGAUACGCGAGAUACGGGAAUCUCUCCAACGCGACCGGCGUGAGGGAUGACAGCAGAUCAGAGAAAGCACACGCGCGCGCGUGUGUAUGUGUAUGUGGAUUGCAGGAGGACCAAGGCUUGAAGGCUUCGUCGUCGAGGAGGGUGGUACGAACACGCGAGUAUUAAUAUGUCCGUUUAAUGUGAUACAUGAGGCAUGAUGAUAGUAUCGGCUUGGUAGAGACAGUGACCGUUAUAUUAUUCGUGAUAAUAAUAAUAAUAAUAAUAAUAAUAUAUAAUAUGUAUAUAAUAUAUAUAUAGUUCAACGUACAAACUAUAUACCUUAAUAAACUCUAACGCAGGGGAUGGAGGAGGAGGAGGGGGCGUCUAUGUACACAGCCUUAGACCAUGCGCUGGCCUAGGUCAUGCCGAUCGUCAUCGAUCGGCUCUAGAUCCGAUCUCUAGAAUUGGGAUCUGGGUGGAUUGGUGGAUCCUGUCCUACAUAACUCCGCGGAUCCUCUCGUCGCCUCGCGGCGCGGGCGUCCUGAUCCUGACGUGCAUGCCACGUACCUAUUAAUUAAUUAUCGACAUUUAUACACAGUACAAUCGAAUUCCUCGCACGCGUACACGCACACACGCACGCACGCACGCUAGGAUGCACGCGAGCACACGCCCGUUGGUGGGAUCAACCAAGGACCCUCCUGAUCAAGGACGCUCCUGGUCGGUCAGCUCGUUUUGGGAUCAUCGUGCUCGUCCGAGCAGGGAUAAGAACACAGCGAGAUUACACAUAAAAUCAACCAAGAUUGUUAUUGGUAUAUCUGCAUAGAGAAUGUAUGUGUGUGUGUGGCACGUAACAUCUUAAAUUAGGAAAUCUCCCAUUCGCGCAGAGGUGAUCGCGUAGCGAUUAAUUACGCUCGAUUAUCCUGAUAUAACGUCGUGGCGCAAUGCUUGCCUAUGUCGUAUGAUCUACUUGACGAUCUUCUGGGCCAGAUUUCAUUUCACUUCGCUCUUCGUCUUCCGCACAAGUGCAAGAGCGGACAUUCCUCUCGUAGAACCAAAUGAAAGCUUGAUGGAAAUAACAAUUUCACUUAAUCGUAAAUCGCAAAAUUAAUCAUCGACCCGAUAACGCCCGACGCGGUGUAUUGAUCAACUCUUUCGUGAUAGAGAGUGCUUAACGCAAUACGUCAAUCCCGCAAUCCCUUCAAUCAAAUUGACCGAAGGUCCUGCGUUAAAGGUCGGACGCUAACGGGUCGAUCGGCACUUUCGCGUGCCUCGAAUCGAAAGAGAAGAAGAAAAAUCGCACGUUCCCAGAAACGAGAACAACUCGAGGAGGCUUCUUCAGGGAUGCAAGGAUCCGCAAAUCCAACAACUCUUUAAAUCGAUGCUCCGCGUAAUCCUUCCGCUCUUCAGUAAUAAUUCUACGACUGUUUUUUACGACUUAUAGUUUUAAAAUACAAUACCUGCAAAGUUCUUAUAAAACGUUUAUAUUUAUAUAAUCCAUUACGCGCGCGCGAAAGAGGGCUAAAUGUUAAGGAUUAUCUAUAACCGCAAGUCUACGAUGUCGGAGGUGAGGGGGAUCUUGAAUAUUCGUGGGAUCCGUACGUGAUCUUCCGUUACAGUCGAUAUCAUUGCAUUAUUAUAACAGCCGCUUCUUGUCGUUACGAUAUAAAAAUCAUUCAUUGCACAUUCCUACUUUCCCCGGGGAGGCAUCUGUGUAUCAUGUAUAUUCUCUUCCACGCACGGAGAAGGAUAUCGGUCAGCGUUCAAAUUCGAGACACGGGGAGCCUCAAAAUCCAGAAUUUUCGGCGAGAAAUCCGGCUCAUUCGCGAUUCGAUCUAUGAUAUUCCACGAGUAACUUUGCAAUUACAUUUUUACUGUAAAUAUACUUCUUCUUCGGGGAGGUCCCUCUUACGAGAAACUAAGAAUCAGUCUCUGAAUUUCGAGGCAACAUUGAUAUAUAUAAUAACGCGUCCAUUACGUCUACACGAAAAUAUGAUUUCGCAGUUGAAUCUGAAUCAGAUCUCGCAAGGAGCAAUCAACAGGGAAAUUUCAAGAACACUUUGAGAAGCAAAACUCGCAACUUGAUUUUUUUCUCGUAAGAUCUGAUUCAGUUCAAGAAGUUCCAUUGUCGAUUAAACGCCAGCUGCACUAACUUGCCAUCUUGUCAAUUAACCAGGGCUAGCUGCUAUUUAAAAAAAGUUUGAUAAAGAAAAAAUUGUUUAAAAGUCUGUAAACGGAGAUUCAUUAAUUCGAGAGAGAGAGAUAGAGAGAGAGAGAGACAA